AAUGUGGAGUAAAUUUUUAAACUAACGUAUAAUUACAUGUUGGCUUGCCAACUACGACGAUAAACGAAUUUCGUAAUAACCAUUACGGACGUGGGGGCAGUACCCACCACCUCCACCAUUAAAAUUUAUGGGGGUGAAAUAGGAUCGACGGGUGACUAAAGGCUAUUCUUUCGUUCGGGAUUGUUCCACCGUAACGGGCUAAACUUUAAAUGCUAACGAAAGUUACGCUAUUGCUGCAUAAUUAACUUAGGUUAAUUAUAGAAGCACGGUCCGGGGCACCGGGUAACAGAACGCCCCUACU
Molecule: transfer-messenger RNA, 301 nt
Filed under: Candidatus Pelagibacter communis
Lineage: Bacteria; Pseudomonadati; Pseudomonadota; Alphaproteobacteria; Candidatus Pelagibacterales; Candidatus Pelagibacteraceae
Also listed under: 1 other name
Rfam family: Alphaproteobacteria transfer-messenger RNA
About the family: Bacterial tmRNA, also known as 10Sa RNA or SsrA, is named for its dual tRNA and mRNA-like properties. Its role is to liberate the mRNA from a stalled ribosome.
Source: RNAcentral